AUUUAAAUAGUUUAAAUAAAACAUUGAUUUGUGGGAUCAAUAAUAUAGUUAUCUAUUUUAAAUA
RNAcentral lists this transfer RNA (64 nucleotides) under Ochthebius puncticollis. Its description in RNAcentral is "tRNA-His". Lineage: Eukaryota; Metazoa; Arthropoda; Insecta; Coleoptera; Hydraenidae. The record is from RNAcentral.